GAGUUUGAUCUUGGCUCAGGAUGAACGCUGGCGGCGUGCCUAACACAUGCAAGUCGAACGGAGUUCUUAAGGAAUGCGGCUUCGGCCAAAUGACUUUUGAACUUAGUGGCGGACGGGUGAGUAACGCGUGAGCAACCUGCCUUUCAGAGGGGGAUAACAUUUGGAAACAGAUGCUAAUACCGCAUAAGAUUACAGUACCGCAUGAUACAGUGAUCAAAGGAGCAAUCCGCUGAAAGAUGGGC
RNAcentral lists this ribosomal RNA (242 nucleotides) under uncultured microorganism. RNAcentral describes it as "partial 16S ribosomal RNA". It matches the Rfam family "Bacterial small subunit ribosomal RNA", at positions 9 to 230 of the family's 1533-position model. The record is from RNAcentral.